This 253-nucleotide ribosomal RNA is filed under the name uncultured bacterium. Its description in RNAcentral is "partial 16S ribosomal RNA". It matches the Rfam family "Bacterial small subunit ribosomal RNA", at positions 524 to 776 of the family's 1533-position model. The record is from RNAcentral.
UACAGAGGGUGCGAGCGUUAAUCGGAAUUACUGGGCGUAAAGCGCACGUAGGUGGCGCCGUAAGUCGGGUUCGAAAGCCCCGGGCUCAACCUGGGAAUUGCAUUCGAGACUGCAUUGCUGGAGUACGGAAGAGGAAGGCGGAAUUCCCGGUGUAGCGGUGAAAUGCGUAGAUAUCGGGAGGAACAUCAGUGGCGAAGGCGGCCUUCUGGUCCAGUACUGACACUCAAGUGCGAAAGCGUGGGGAGCAAACAGG